Cavia porcellus (domestic guinea pig) is the source of this 1147-nucleotide long non-coding RNA. RefSeq lists it as uncharacterized. The transcript is spliced from 2 exons. NCBI's taxonomy places the organism in Eukaryota, Metazoa, Chordata, Mammalia, Rodentia, Caviidae. The record is from RefSeq and is a predicted model, not a curated record.
CUGGAGCAGAUAAUCCACUUUAGAGAAAUAACUAAAUGGGACAUGUCUGACAUCUAAUAUUACAGGAUAAAACACAUUUUUGGUUUUGGUUUUGGUUUUGGUUGAGACAGGAUCUCACUAUGUAGUUCAGGCUGACCAUGCACGCAUUACAGGCUGGCCUCAAACUCACAUCUGAACACCUGCCUUAGCCUCCCGAGUGCUGGACUUACAGGUGUGUGCCACUAUACCCAGCUGGAAGACAUAUUUGCUGUCUGCCUCUCUGGAGCUUUUCCUGUUUAUCUCUCUGCUGGUCGCAUGGUCUCCAUGUCUCACUACCUGCCGUGCCAUUCACUCUGGCGGGAUCCUCAUGUUCCAAGACGAGAGAUGAAGCUGUGGCUGUGUGCUCCCCACCUGCACUGAUCACUCCAGCUACCUCCGCUGGGAACAGGGCCAGAAGACAGGCGAGCAGCAAUGCUGAGGCCCUGCCAGGUCUCCACUCCCCAGCUUGUGUGGCUCGCUAAGGAGCCACUAAGUGAGCUGGAGCUCACUAAGGAGCUCCAGCCCAGCUCUUCCUCUCACCCUGGGGCCCGAGACCCUGUGAGUCUAUGCCAGUGACCUCUCCCUCUACAGGGACCGCUUCCUUCCUGCCCAUCCCCAGUGCCCUACAUUUCUCCUCUCUGCCAGUCCAACAGCUAUUACAAAACAGUUGGGGGCUGGGCAGCUUCCCAUGCCUAGCUCUGCCCUGGGCAGCAAGUGACAGCAGGCUCAUGACUCCCACUGAGCCCAGUGCCCUCUGCUCCAAGGCCAGCAGCCUGUGACCUCUGCUCCGAUCCUGUUUUUCAGCAUUCAGAGCCCUGUGUCCAGAGUCUUCCCGUUCAGAUUGAUUACUGGGAUACAGGGCUCAGCUCAGACCUCUUGCUGUGUGUCCCAUACACCUCGCCUGACAGCCCCCAGUGGCCUAGGUUUGUUAUUGUUAUUGUUUAGGGUGUUUGUGUCGUGGUUUCCAGGUUCUUUCCAUUUUGAACAAAGAAUCGAAUGAAACAAGCAAAAAUGGUGGCAGAGUUUAUUUAAAAAAUUAAAAGUAAAGGGUAAGGGGGAAACUAGCUCUGUAGAGUGAAUUUGGGAUGAAUAAAGAGAGGAGAAAUUAAAGCCAAGACAGUGAGCUCUU